GACGAACGCUGGCGGCGUGCUUAACACAUGCAAGUCGAACGGACUUAUGAGUUUCGAUUCAUAAGUUAGUGGCAGACGGGUGAGUAACGCGUGGGAAUGUACCAUUUGGUUCGGAAUAACUACGGGAAACUGUAGCUAAUACUGGAUAAGCCCGAGAGGGGAAAGAUUUAUCGCCGAAUGAGCAGCCCGCGUUAGAUUAGGUAGUUGGUGGGGUAAAGGCCUACCAAGCCUGCGAUCUAUAGCUGGUCUGAGAGGAUGAUCAGCCACACUGGGACUGAGACACGGCCCAGACUCCUACGGGAGGCAGCAGUGGGGAAUAUUGGACAAUGGGGGAAACCCUGAUCCAGCAAUGCCGCGUGAGUGAUGAAGGCCUUCGGUUGUAAGACUCUUUUGUCACGCGACGAUGAUGACGGUAGCGUGAGAAUA
This 426-nucleotide ribosomal RNA is filed under the name uncultured bacterium. RNAcentral's name for it is "bacterial SSU rRNA". It matches the Rfam family "Bacterial small subunit ribosomal RNA", at positions 28 to 488 of the family's 1533-position model. The record is from RNAcentral.